Molecule: ribosomal RNA, 301 nt
Filed under: uncultured bacterium
Lineage: Bacteria
Description: partial 16S ribosomal RNA
Rfam family: Bacterial small subunit ribosomal RNA
Source: RNAcentral
CAGUAGCCGCGGUAAUCCGUAGGUGGCAAGCGUUGUCCGGAAUUAUUGGGCGUAAAGGGCUCGCAGGCGGUUUCUUAAGUCUGAUGUGAAAGCCCCCGGCUCAACCGGGGAGGGUCAUUGGAAACUGGGAAACUUGAGUGCAGAAGAGGAGAGUGGAAUUCCACGUGUAGCGGUGAAAUGCGUAGAGAUGCGGAGGGACACCAGUGGCGAAGGCGACUCUCUGGUCUGUAAUUGACGCUGAGGAGCGAAAGCGUGGGGAGCGAACAGGAUUAGAUACCCCGGUAGUCCCUGUCUCUUAUAC